CAGGGAGGGAUAAAGACCAGU
RNAcentral lists this microRNA (21 nucleotides) under Mus musculus (house mouse). Its description in RNAcentral is "mmu-miR-6967-5p". Lineage: Eukaryota; Metazoa; Chordata; Mammalia; Rodentia; Muridae. The record is from miRBase by way of RNAcentral.